This is a long non-coding RNA of Salvia splendens (bonfire salvia), 2309 nucleotides long. RefSeq lists it as uncharacterized. The transcript is spliced from 6 exons. Lineage: Eukaryota; Viridiplantae; Streptophyta; Magnoliopsida; Lamiales; Lamiaceae. The record is from RefSeq and is a predicted model, not a curated record.
UACGCCAAUCUUCAAGUUUUCAACGGUUGGAAAUCUAAUUCAAAUUUGAAAAUCUAAUUCAAUUUUGAAAUCUAAUUCAAAUUUGAAAAUCUAAUUCAAUUUUGAAACCUAAUUCAUCCCCCAAACCGAGAGAGAGAGAGACGACUGCACAAUUGGGAGAAAACUAUUACGCUCGAGGUCGCUCCAAAAUCCAAGAAAGGGAAGGAAUUCCUCCGGAUCAGCAGCGUCUGAUCUUUGAUGGCCGGCCGCUCGCCGAUUACAAUACCCAGAAAGAAUCGACGUUGCAUUUGGUUUUGAGGCUUUGUGGAGGAAUAAUCGAGCCUUCCUUGAUGAUCUGCGGCAAAUGUUAUGCCCGCCUGCAUCCUCGUGCUGUUAACUGCAGAAAGAAGUGUGGGCACAGUACCAGUUGAGGCCUAAGAAGAAGAUCAAGCAUCCAGUGUUCUGCAAAUUAUCAACGGUUCCCCUGAAUUUUACUCCAUUUUCAACUGCUUUUAUUGGCAUAUCUCUAUCUGCUCGAAAAUAUCCACCCCUCUUUCUCCCCUGCUAUGGUAAUUAAGCAGUUCGUUGGUUGCUAGUUGGAGUUGCGUAGUUGGGGGAUUGAAGAAAUUCGAGUUGAGAUAAUUGCUCUCCGGUUGGAUGGGGAUUUGCCGGCGGCGAGAUGAGUGCGUCUAGAUUUAUUAAGUGCGUGACAGUGACCGUGAGCGAUGGGGCUGUAGGUAAAACAUGUCUGCUCCUUUCUUGCACUAGCAACAAUUUUCUAACGGAUUAUGUCCCUACUGUUUUCGAUAAUUUUAGUGCCAAUGUCGUAGUGGAUGGUAGCACUGUUAAUCUGGGAUUGUGGGAAACUACGGGUCAAGAGGAUUACAAUAGAUUUAGACCGUUGAGCUACCGUGGGACUGAUGUCGCUAUACUCGCCUUCUCUCUUAAUAGCAAGGCCAGUUACGGGAAUGUCUCCAUGAAGUGGAUAUCUGAAUAAAGGUAUUAUGCUCACGGAGUUCCAAUAAUCGUUGUGAGGACAAAACUCGAUCUUCGAGAGGAUAAGCAGUUCUCCGUGGACCACCUUAGAGCAGUGCCCAUCACAACAGCACAGGGAGAUGACUUGAAGGAAUCCAUUGGAGCUGCUGCUUACAUUUAAUGUAGUGCUAAGACACAACAGAAUGUGAAGGCUGUCUUUGAUGCAGUGAAAAAGCAUGCAGCAUAUUAUAAUUGGCAAAGAGGAUUCACAUCAAUUAUUAGACAGUUUCUCUUGUUGUUUUGAAGACCGAUCCGGAUUAUUUUUGGGGAAAUUUUUGGAUGCUUGGAGAGGGAGGGAGUGUUGUAUAUGGUGUCUAGACCCCACCAAACUAUUCCAUCCGUCCUCUUCUCAAUUUAUUCCUUUGCAUCUCACUCUCUCUCACUCAACCAUCACUCAAGCUACCAUCAAAGUACAUAAGAUCUGAGCCUACAUAUCCCACAGCCCGACCCGCCUACUACGAUCCGGUUUCCUUUGAACUAGUAGAAUGGAUAUGAAGCAAACCACUUGCGGAUCUUUGCUGCAGCAACUGCAGCCUGACAAGACGUCAGGAACGAACAAGGAACAGCUUCAAGGUAUAGCUCCUGCACUGGAUAAACUAUGGAAACAAAAGGAUGAGAAGAUAAAAGAGUAUUCUGAUGUUCAAUCUCAAAUACAGAACAUAUCAGCGGAGGUUGCUGGAACUAGUGUCCAGGUUGAGAAUAUCACAGUUGAUGAGGCCAAUCUAUCCAUGAAAAAAUUAGAUAAAGUUUAAUGCCCAGCUUCAAGAUCUUCAAAAGGAAAAGGCUGCACAAGGUUAUAGACAUGUCAGCACAGUUCACGAUCUUUGUACUGUCCUUGCCACGGGACUUCUUUACUACUGUCACAGAAGUGCAUCUAAGCCUGAAUAACGCCACUGGUGUUCACCCAAAAAGCAUCUUUGUGCUGUCCUUCUCCUGGUGAUUUUUCAGAACUUUGUCAAACAUUAAAGAAGGUUAUCACCGAUGUAAACAUUACUGUGGGAAAAAAAGAAAAAAAAAGGAAAAAAGGAAAAAAAGGAAUAAAAAAGGAAAAAAAAACGGCAACCUUGGUAGGGAUCCGAGAACCUUUCAUAAAAAAAAGGAAGGAAAAAAAAGAAAAAAAAACAUUGCUGUUGCAAUUGAAGCUAUUCAACCACUGGACAACUUUGGUAUGGAUCUGAGAACCCAUUUUCCGGAGAAAUUGUAGGAGAAGAAACCUACUUCAACGGAGGCCCUUACCCAAACUCUUCAGGCAAUGCCUAAGUCCGGAUGAUUGAGUGUAAAUGACACUUUUGAAG